CCUACGGGUGGCAGCAGUGAGGAAUAUUGGUCAAUGGACGAGAGUCUGAACCAGCCAAGUAGCGUGAAGGAUGACUGCCCUAUGGGUUGUAAACUUCUUUUAUAUGGGAAUAAAAUGUUCCCCGUGUGGGAUUUUGUAUGUACCAUAUGAAUAAGGAUCGGCUAACUCCGUGCCAGCAGCCGCGGUAAUACGGAGGAUCCGAGCGUUAUCCGGAUUUAUUGGGUUUAAAGGGAGCGUAGGUGGAUUGUUAAGUCAGUUGUGAAAGUUUGCGGCUCAACCGUAAAAUUGCAGUUGAAACUGGCAGUCUUGAGUACAGUAGAGGUGGGCGGAAUUCGUGGUGUAGCGGUGAAAUGCUCAGAUAUCACGAAGAACUCCGAUUGCGAAGGCAGUUCACUGGACUGCAACUGACACUGAGGCUCGAAAGUGUGGGUAUCAAACAGGAUUAGAUACCCGUGUAGUC
This 460-nucleotide ribosomal RNA is filed under the name uncultured bacterium. RNAcentral's name for it is "partial 16S ribosomal RNA". It matches the Rfam family "Bacterial small subunit ribosomal RNA", at positions 338 to 795 of the family's 1533-position model. The record is from RNAcentral.